GGCCAGAAUGGCAUAGUGGUUUGAGUGUUGGACUAUGACACUGGAGACCAGAGUUUGAUUCUCUGCUUGGCCA
Molecule: transfer RNA, 73 nt
Filed under: Phrynosoma platyrhinos (Desert horned lizard)
Lineage: Eukaryota; Metazoa; Chordata; Lepidosauria; Squamata; Phrynosomatidae
Description: tRNA-OTHER
Source: RNAcentral